ACAAUACAAUGGAUCAUGGUAUAAUGUACAUUCUGAUUCUAUGUUAUAUUAUUAUUACUAUUAUAUGUAUACAGUUCACAAUUCAUUAGAAUAAAACAGAAUACAUCAAGAAAAUCUCUAGAAGCAAAUGUGUAUUUAUUAUUUAUCAAUUUUUUUAGGCAUUGGAAAAAAAGGUUUUCUAUCUUUUGGCCUAAUUAUUAUUAGAAUAAUACUCUCAACUAAUGUUUAUAAAUACAAUUCAUCGAAGAACAAACAAUAAAAUUAUAUUGUCUACUUACAUCUGAGGCUCAUUAACUUCAAGUACUGGAG
Long non-coding RNA from Aphis gossypii (cotton aphid), 309 nucleotides. RefSeq lists it as uncharacterized. NCBI's taxonomy places the organism in Eukaryota, Metazoa, Arthropoda, Insecta, Hemiptera, Aphididae. The transcript is spliced from 3 exons. The record is from RefSeq and is a predicted model, not a curated record.